GUUCUGCAUCUCUAGCUUUCUCCUCCUCCCAGUUGCAUCUCCACACAUCACUCACCACCCGUGAGCCAAAGAAACCGAGAGGGAGAGCUCCAGCUAUCGUCUUCCCUCUCCUCUUCGUUGCCGGCCGCCAGGAAGAAGGACGCCGCAACACAUCGUCAAGACUUUGCCAACUCUAACUCUUUCCCGUUCCGUAUUCUAAUCUUCAUGCCGAACAAGUUUCCUUUUGACACCAUCUCAUUUCAUCCACUGCAGCGACGGGAACGCCAUCGUGCCCACGGGAGCUUCAGAGCGCGCCCGGAGCGCCGCCGCCACGACCUCGUCGCUGUCCCGGCUGCUGUGGAGCGAAUCCGGCCGAGCCGUCGCGCCAAAAUCUUCCCCUCGAGGUCCUCUCCAAAUGCCCUCAAGAAUCCCCAAGAUCCGAGCACCGAGGAGAGAUAUCGAGCUAUUCUUCUCCAACUCCGGCCGCCGAGCUCCAUCUUUGAUUCCUCCUUCUCCGUUCUUGUAGUGAGUCAAGCCGACGCCGUUCAUGGAGAAGGAGCGCCGUCGCCGAGCCGUUCCGAACGCCGUCGUCGACGACCAAGCUUGGCCAACCUCGUCCAAUACUACUAUAAUUGCGUAAAUGGUGAAGAAGUGAAUUAGGUGCUAACAUUUCCCAGGAACAAGGCAAGUUUUAUCCUCCCAAUAUUUGAUCACAUUGAAUCCCAUGUUUUGAGGAUUGAAAAUAUUUGUUUGCAAAGUUGCAUGUGAAUUUAGACUAUAACGGUAUUUGAAACUUGGUUAUGGUAGCUAUGACCUAAUUGCUGCAUUUACUUCUUUGAAUAAUUGUGAUCCUCACUGAUUGUAACCUUAGAAAUGGUUAGAGUACUUUCAAAGUGCUCAAUUGGGUUUAUACAUGCUUACAUAAAAGCCUUACGCUUGGCCAUGCCUAGUAGUUGCUAAAUAACUUCAUGAUCACUUUUUAAAUGAGAAUUUGGGGAGUAUUUUCACUGCUGGACAGAGGUGAAUAUCUCUGAUAUUUGUGAAUUAAAAUGUGUAAAAGUGUGAUUUUAGACUUGGGCGGCAAGUGGUAUGCAUAUGGUGCUAGUUGCAUACCGAUAGGGGGAGUGCUCGCCCUAGUCAAUUAAGGACCGAACUUUGUGUCACCAUCUAAGUAUACUGUGCAACCACAUGUGCUAGGAAUGGGACGGCCUUAGCUUAUUAAGUUGUUUAAUGUCUAACAUUGCAUUGGGAGGCCGUAGUAGUAUGAACUAGUUGGAAUGAUGGUUUAUAGGAGCUGCCUAGUGCGGUUGUGCCUAGGCGUCUAAGCGUGUCCAAUAUAACGGUUAAGUGCCUCGUGGAGGAACGGAUGUAUUCGCUGCCACGGCGCUAGGGAUGGCGAGGCCCCCCCGACCUAGCAGCACGUGGGUUGCUCCUCGUGUGGAUAAACACUUGCCGUGCUCGUGCAAGGUUAGGCAUUAGGCAAUGUAAAGGCUUCGUUAUGACCUCUAGACCACAUUCGACGUGAAGAAUGUGGUAGAGUCUUGCAAACUCAAAACAAACUAGAGUGUUCAUAUCAUGUGGGUAAAGCUGUACAAAUUCUGCAGAGUUCUUUAAAACUAAUUGAUUAGCCGUGCUCACGGUCAUGAGCGCUUUGGUGAUGUGUCAUGAGUAUAGUCUUGUGGAAGAAUUGUGUUGAGUUGUGUGAGUGAUGAUGAUUAUAAUAGUUGUGCCAUGGAAGGCAGCAAGAGUAUGCUUAUGAUGAUAUGAUGUUAUCUAUGAUGAUAUGAUGUUAAUUAUGAUGAACUUACAAAUUUGUUUUGUUAAUUGAAUCAACUCCUUUACAAAAGAUUUGUGAACCAAAACUUGCUUUAUGC
This is an RNA transcript of Oryza sativa Japonica Group (Japanese rice), 1853 nucleotides long. RefSeq lists it as uncharacterized. Lineage: Eukaryota; Viridiplantae; Streptophyta; Magnoliopsida; Poales; Poaceae. The record is from RefSeq and is a predicted model, not a curated record.